This is a non-coding RNA of Amborella trichopoda, 2326 nucleotides long. The record is from RefSeq and is a predicted model, not a curated record. NCBI's taxonomy places the organism in Eukaryota, Viridiplantae, Streptophyta, Magnoliopsida, Amborellales, Amborellaceae.
UUUCUGAUUCAAUUGGCCGUUCAAACUGAGCGGGCUUUAGGGGAAGAGAGAAACCCUAGUUUUCCGUUUCAUUUCUUCCCUCUCUCCUGCGGAAGCUGCAACUCAGUAUAGGCUCCAGGAGUAGGAGACAGCGGCUGCUAUGAACAACCACUUUGAUACCAGAUAUGGAGACCCUAACUCCUACCGUGAAAGGAGAAGUGACAUAAUGGGGCCGCCCCUUGGUGCCCCAAUCAGCAUGGCCGGAGGUGCUUUCCCCGGUGGGAUCCUUGGCCCUCGUGGAUCCCCUGUCAUCCCUGCAGCCCAGUCCCACGCUGGGGUAGACCCUGCUCCCUUUAGAGGCGGCAGCACGGUCAGUGGGCCUGCAAGGGGUGGCUUUAAUGGAAUGUCAACCUUACCCUCUAGCAUCGGGCGAGGGCGCGAAGGCCCACCACCACAUGGAAGAGGCCGAGGAUUCGAUGGAGUUCGUGGGGGGCGGGGUGAUCGUGGCGGUCGACGAGGGGGAUUAGGUGGUGGUGGGGUCCGCAAUGGAAGAGGGAGGGAGCAUGACAUGGAUGGCGGGAGAGGAGGGUUUAGUGGGGCUCGCUCUGGUGGUAGGGGUCACGAAGGGGGUCGAGGGGGACGUCGGGAUUUUGAUGCUGGUCGAGGACGAGGAGGAGGCAGAGGUUUUGACAGGGGUCGUGGGGGUAGGGGGAGAGGCUACGGUGCUGGGUCCAAGAGUGAAUUGGAUAGCAUUGAACUUCCUCCUGAGGAUUUCGGGGAGUUGAUACCCUUUGAGAAGAACUUCUAUGUAGAGAACCCAGCCGUGCAAGUGAUGUCGGAACAAGAUGUUGUGCUCUAUCGUAAGAGUCGUGAUAUAACAGUUGAGGGUCGGGAUGUUCCAAAGCCUAUCCGUUAUUUUCAUGAGGCCAACUUUCCGGAUUACUGCCUUCAAGUGAUCACAAAAUGUGGUUUUGUACAACCUACUCCUAUCCAAUCUCAAGGAUGGCCAAUGGCUUUGAAGGGUAGGGAUUUAAUUGGUAUUGCUGAAACUGGUUCAGGGAAAACGCUGGCCUAUCUUUUACCGGCCUUGGUACAUGUGAAUGCACAACCUCGUCUUGCUCGUGGUGAAGGUCCUAUUGUCUUGGUCCUAGCACCUACUAGGGAAUUGGCUGUUCAGAUUCAGCAAGAAGCUGAAAAAUUUGCGUCACAUUCCAAUGUUAGAAUUACGUGCAUAUAUGGUGGUGCCCCUAAGGGACCCCAAAUUCGAGAUCUUCAAAAAGGGGUUCAGAUUGUCAUUGCAACACCUGGUCGACUAAUUGAUAUGCUAGAAGCUCAUCACACAAACUUGCGAAGAGUUACGUACCUUGUUUUGGAUGAGGCAGACCGUAUGUUGGAUAUGGGAUUUGAACCUCAGAUUAGAAAAAUUGUUGCUCAGAUUCGACCCGAUAGGCAGACAUUGUAUUGGAGUGCCACUUGGCCAAGAGAGGUGGAGGCUUUGGCCAGGCAGUUCUUACGUAAUCCAUACAAGGUCAUCAUUGGAUCAGCAGAUCUGAAAGCUAAUCAAUCUAUCAACCAAAUUGUUGAAGUUGUGGGGGAGACUGAAAAGUACCCUAGGCUGAUCAAGCUUUUGCAGCAAAUCAUGGAUGGAAGCCGGAUCCUCAUUUUUAUGGAGACGAAAAAGGGUUGUGAUCAGGUCACCAGGCAACUGAGAAUGGAUGGAUGGCCAGCCUUGUCCAUUCAUGGCGAUAAAAGCCAAGCUGAGAGGGACUGGGUUCUGGCUGAGUUUAAGAAUGGAAGAAGUCCUAUUAUGACGGCCACUGAUGUAGCUGCUCGUGGUCUUGGUAUAGCCCAUUUAUGCUUGAAGUCUUAUAUCUCAUUUAGUCGAAUUGCUGGUGGUUGGAGGAGUCAGCGGGCUGCUUGCCAGUGUUUAAAGGAGAAUGGAGUUCGGUGGGUGGCGGCGUGUGAUUGUACCCUCAUUCUAAAGGCCUGGAAAAGUGUUGGGAAAUAAAAAAAAACUGAAACUUUAGAUGUUUCAUCCCGAGCAUGAGUGUUCUCUAGUCGUUGGAGAUCUAUUAUUUUUCUGACCUUGUUAAAUGGUCUCUUGUGAAUUUAUCCUUCGGUCCCUUCACAGGUUGGUUCCCAUAGAAAAUUCUCUGCUCGGGUUGUUUUGUGUUCGCCGCCAUCCACAGUUUAUGGAGCUGGUUUCAUGUGGCAGCCCGAUCGACUCAGUGCACAAAAAACGUGGUGGCCCUUAUCCCUGCAAGACGUGAAGGACAUAAAAUGUGUCAUAAACUAUGAUUUUCCUGGAUCCCUUGAGGACUAUGUUCAUCGGAUUGGCCGAACAGGA